This 407-nucleotide ribosomal RNA is filed under the name uncultured bacterium. Its description in RNAcentral is "partial 16S ribosomal RNA". It matches the Rfam family "Bacterial small subunit ribosomal RNA", at positions 30 to 526 of the family's 1533-position model. The record is from RNAcentral.
AUUGAACGCUGGCGGCAGGCCUAACACAUGCAAGUCGAGCGGAGCGGCGGACGGGUGAGUACUGCCUAGGCAUCUGCCUGGUAGUGGGGGAUAACGUCCGGAACCGGGCGCUACUACCGCCUACUACCAGAUGUUCCCAGGUCGGAUUAGCUAUUUGGUGGGUUAAAGGCCUACCAAGGCGACGACCCGUAACUGGUCUGAUAGGAUGAUCAGUCACACUGGGACUGAGACACGGCGCAGACUCCUACGGGAGGCAGCAGUAGGGAAUAUUGGACAAUGGGCGAAAGCCUGAUCGAGCCAUGCCGCGUGUGUGAAGAAGGUCUUCGGAUUGUAAAGAACUGUAAGUUGGGAAGCGUUACCAACAGAAUAAGCACAGGCUAACUACGUGCCAGCAACAGCGGUAAUAC